UAGCACCCCACUGUAUUUUGUUGUCAUCUUUUGUCUCCAGUAGCUGUUGGAAGGAUUUGUGCGGUUUCAAUCAGAGGAAUCUUAUUAACACCUAAAUUAAUGAUUCCCUGAACUAUUCAAAAGAAAGAAUUCCCAAAAUAGGAGCACUAAGUAAAGAGGAAAACCACAACUUUUUUCAUUUGAGGGGUCUCUACUUGAGAUUUUCUGUAAGUGAACCGUGUUAUCUAAAGUUUGCUUCAAAGUGUCUAAUUGCUGUAAACUCACAUGUAAGGUCACUAUGAGUGGGUGCACUUAGGAAAACAACCACCGUCAGUGUCUCCAUUCAAAGUGAUCUUGAUAUGAAACAUAGAACUCAAUUUGAUAGACAUAACAUGAAGGGUCAGGUAGAAUUUGUAGCAGUUGUUGUGUACAACUGGUCCAAGCACUUACUGAAUUCAAGAGACAAGUUCUUGCAUGAGUUGGACCAACAAUACAGACUUGUAAUGAAUGCUCUUCCUUACCAGUGAGUCCGGAAGUUCUUUUGGAAUAUCCUGUGUUGUCUGUGUUUCCAAAUCCAUGAGGGAUACCUGGACAUGAGUCUCCUUUUAUAUGAACUCAAGACUCCUCUUGCUCCAUCCACAUUUAAGUCAAUGACAUUAAGUCAUGAAACCAAUGGUUGGCUAACGACUGUAGUAGCGUCCAUUUGUAUUUUGGUUUCCUCUUUUGUCUCCAGUAGCUGUUGGAAGGAUUUGUGCGGUUUCAAUCAGAGGGAUCUUAUUAACACAUAAAUCAACGAUUCCCUGAACUAUUCAAAAUAAAGACUUCCCCAAAUAGGAGCACAAAGAAAAAAGGAAAACCACAAGUGUUUUCAUUUGAGGGGUCUCUACUUGAGAUGUUGUGUAAGUGAACCGUGUUAUCUAAAGUUUCCUUCAAAGUGUCUAAUUGCUGUAAACUCACAUUCAAGGUCACUUUGAGUGGGUGCACUUAGGAAUACAACCACCAUCAGUGUCUCCAUUCAAAGUGAUCUUGAUAUGAAACAUAGAACUCAAUUUUUUAGAUGUAAUCAGGUAGAAUUUGUAGCAGUUGUUGUGUACAACUGGUCCAAGCAAAUGCACUUACUGAAUUCAAGAGACAAGUUCUUGCAUGAGUUGGACCAAUAAUACAGACUUGUAAUGAAUGCUCUUCCUUACCAGUGAGUCCGGAAGUUCUUUUGGAAAAUCCUGUGUUGUCUGUGUUUCCAAAUCCAUGAGGGAUACCUGGACAUGAGUCUCCUUUUAUAUGAACUCAAGACUCCUCUUGCUCCAUCCACAUUUAAAUCAACGAGAUUCAAUCAUGAGACUAAUGGUUGACUAACGACUGUCGUAGCACCCCACUGUAUUUUGUUUUCCUCUUUUGUCUCCAGUAGCUGUUGGAAGGAUUUGUGCGGUUUCAAUCAGAGGCAUCUUAUUAACACAUAAAUCAACGAUUCCCUGAACUAUUCAAAAAAAAAAAAAAAAGAAUUCCCCAAAUAGGAGCACUAAGUAAAGAGGAAAACCACAAGUGUUUUCAUUUGAGGGGUCUCUACUUGAGAUUUUCUGUAAGUGAACCGUGUUAUCUAAAGUUUGCUUCAAAGUGUCUAAUUGCUGUAAACUCACAUGUAAAGUCACUUUGAGUGGGUGCACUUAGGAAAACAACCACCAUCAGUGUCUCCAUUCAAAGUGAUCUUGAUAUGAAACAUAGAACUCAAUUUGAU
Molecule: long non-coding RNA, 1711 nt
Organism: Astatotilapia calliptera (eastern happy)
Lineage: Eukaryota; Metazoa; Chordata; Actinopteri; Cichliformes; Cichlidae
Source: Ensembl